This is a long non-coding RNA of Salvia miltiorrhiza (redroot sage), 948 nucleotides long. RefSeq lists it as uncharacterized. The transcript is spliced from 3 exons. The record is from RefSeq and is a predicted model, not a curated record. Lineage: Eukaryota; Viridiplantae; Streptophyta; Magnoliopsida; Lamiales; Lamiaceae.
CACACCCAAAAAGCCCCAAUUUCAGGAGAAGAUGAUCACGCCGAGAGCAAAGUUUUCAAAGAUGGCAGGAGAAGAUGAUCACGCCGAGACCAAAGUGUUCAAAAAUGGCAGCAAUAUUUCUUCAACAUUUGCUGCCACCAACCACCUCAACCUCUCUAUAAAUUGAGGUGAGUUCUGCAGAAGGAAGAAGUGCAGAAGUGCGAGAGGUGUGAGGUAAAACAAGAGAAAAUUUUAAAUUUCUUACUUGCAAGAGCUCAAGUGAGCUCCCUUCGCCGGGCCGUUUAUUCGCCGACCGGCCACUAGGCUCUGAACCGAGAACGUGUACUCGUUCCUCCAUCUUCAGGCUACCAAACCCAACAAUCGAAAGGCCGAAACCUUCUCUAUAUUUUCCCGACCAAAGGCCACAAUAUCCUUCGGAGGCCAACGUCGAAUUCCCGACUUAGCCACCGGCCAACUUACGGCCUUCGUUUCUCACUAUCCUUACGACGAAAAAGGAUCGAGAAACCACCGUUGUGUAGCCUGAUCUACCUCGCACGAGGAAGACUAAGUCGUAGACCUUCGCGGCUAAACACCAUAGCGGAACGACGACCAGAAAAACCCCCGGCGAACAACUUCCAUUAGUGCUCACUUGGACAAGGGUUCAAAUAAACAAAAGCGCCUGAGUAACCUAUCGCGCUAAGGAAAGAGAAUCAUUGUCUUAAGUAGCAAAACACUGCAAUCAGGUUGAGCUGAUGUGAUGAUGGUGUUGCAAUGAGCGGAGUCUCCAGGGUUGUUAAUAAAUAGUUAACCUGUCUAGAAUAUGUCUUCAUACAUAUGUCUAGCUACUUUCCGCUGCAAGAUGUUGUUGAUGUUAUAGUAUGUUAUGUCAUACUUUGAGUCUUAAGAGAAUGGUUUCAUAUGAUGUAUAACUUGAUUAAUGAUAUUAAUUAAGUUUUAUGCUGUCUUUCA